RNAcentral lists this long non-coding RNA (1978 nucleotides) under Scleropages formosus (Asian bonytongue). RNAcentral's name for it is "lncRNA (ENSSFOG00015028598.1)". Lineage: Eukaryota; Metazoa; Chordata; Actinopteri; Osteoglossiformes; Osteoglossidae. The record is from RNAcentral.
GGUUUAUUUCUAUUUUAGGGUCCUCUCUAUAAUUUAGAUUAUAUAACAUCUUUCUAUCGCAUUUACUCUAUGUUAUAUGUUAUGGUUUUGAUUGAACACAUCUGGAAAAUUAAAAAAAAGAAAAAGGAUCAAGAUAUAGGAAAAAACAUGUCCACCGCCUGUCCCACUAUUUUAAUCAUUUAAAAUAAGGCGUCUAAUUUUCUAAACUGACCCAAGGAAAAGGGGAAGAACGUGGUGUAGUGAAAGUGUAAUGCCAAAAUGAAAUUAGUCAAAUUUUAAAUGAAUAUUUUUAGACCUAUUAAUGAAAAGUCCACUGCAGAGGUAAUAUUCCAGUGUUUAGGGUGAACUUUAAUAGCCAGUAUUUUCUCUGAAAUAUGUCAAGGUAAUGGCUCCGUGCAAUGUUUAAUGAGUUGUCAGAUACUUUGAGCUGAAAAAGUGCUGUUAAAAAUGUCCUUGGUUUGUCAUCAAGUAAUGGGACAUGUUGGAAUCAGUUUGGGCUCAAGUAAUAAUAAAAAAAAAAAAAAAAAAAAUUAAUGUAAUUGGCACUGGAAGAAAAAACAGCACUAAUGAGAGGACGGGCUUGGCCAGGUUCAGGAGAGGACAUGGCAUGUAAUGCUUUAUAUACCCUCAACCACGGUAAUCCUGCUCAGAGGACAGUUAGAGAAGGAUUAGAAUCCCCUCAUACACUCGCUGGUCUCCUGUACCUUGGUCCCUCUGAAGUCCACUGGGCUGAAGGUGUCCCUGUUCUCCGGGUGUCCAUUGUGGUAAAGGUGUCCCUGGUCUCUGGGUCUCCAUUGUGGUAAAGGUGUCCCUGGUCUCUGGGUGUCCAUUGUGGUAAAGGUGUCCCUGGUCUCUGGGUGUCCAUUGUGGUAAAGGUGUCCCUGGUCUCUGGGUGUCCAUUGUGGUAAAAGUGCUCCUGUUCUCUGGGUGUCCAUUGUGGUAAAGGUGUCCCUGUUCUCUGGGUGUCCAUUGUGGUAAAGGUGUCCCUGGUCUCUGUGUGUCCAUUGUGGUAAAAGUGCCCCUGUUCUCGGGGUGUCCACUGUGCCGAAGGUGUCCCUGGUCUCUGGGUGUCCAUUGUGGUAAAAGUGCUCCUGUUCUCUGGGUGUCCAUUGUGGUAAAGGUGUCCCUGGUCUCGGGGUGUCCACUGUGCCGAAGGUGUCCCUGGUCUCUGGGCGUCCACUGCAAUGCGGAGACCCCUGGCCUCCAGAAGUCCACGUUGAUGGUGGUGGCGACUGCUUUCUCUCUGUGUCCUGCUCCAGAGGAGGAGCCGCCACGCAGGGGUAACACUGGACUACGCACAGUCAGCCUGGAGCGGCGUAACCUACCGCAUGGUGGACGCUGCCAGAGUCCAGGUCAAUACACUUUGAUUUCCACUCCUGGACCUGCGAACCAGACCAAGGCACGCCAAUCGCACAUUUGUUUAUGAGUGCGAAAACCCCCCGUCGUUCACCCCAGCCACCAAUUUGCAGCCGGAAAAAAGUGCAGGAGUGCAGCGCGUUCGAAAAAGAGCCGCCGAUGAUUUCACAGCUUCCCGUAUAAGUGUGCAAGGUGCACAGUGCAUUAAGAGACACAUUUUACUACAAGAUAAUGCAUUAUUUUUUAGCUUUGAAACCGACUGCUCCAAAUGAAUUAUUUAAUUGUCAUGUUGUACCGAUUUGUCUCGGCACCGCAUGUCGAAGAAGAUAUUCUUAUGAGGAUUAAUCCCUUCUUAUGCAGUUUCGGGCAGAAUGACUGUGAGGGGAACAGCAGAGAAAAGGCGGAAGAGACGAUCAAGGAGAAAAUCACUGACUAUUUAGUGUCUCGCUGCCAAAUGGUGUCACAGUGUUAAAUUUAACUACACUCAUAUGUUGUGCGACCAUAGAAGCUUAAUAUGUGCCAGAUAGUGUCUCCCUGCUAGUAGUUAUACCAGAUGGCCCAGUUUGGCAGUAAUGCGAUCUGGCAGAGAAUAAGGAUUCAAACCCACAAACACCAACACUUG